Molecule: long non-coding RNA, 1463 nt
Filed under: Anas platyrhynchos platyrhynchos (common mallard)
Lineage: Eukaryota; Metazoa; Chordata; Aves; Anseriformes; Anatidae
Description: lncRNA (ENSAPLG00000023184.1)
Source: RNAcentral
CUCCACCAGCUUAAGUUUCUUUUGGUUCCACACUCAUUUAUAGGACAGGGCUCUGUUAUGGAAAGAUGUUACAUGGAAGCAUUUCUCUUUGUCUUUCUUUACCAAUGUCUGUUCUCAUCAGACAAGGUCAGAGUUAACAAAAACAAACAAACACACACACAAAAAAAACAACAGUUUAAUAACUGAUCCCUUUAUUUUCAAUAGCAAUUAUGGAAUAGCAACAGCCCUCAUCAGGGUGGAGGGUGGGGGCGGUGAUUAACUCAGUGCAUUCACUAUUGAUGGGCAGCAAGUGUAAAUGAAACUGCAGCAGCUCAGUACUGUGGGAUUUUAGAGCACGUUUGUCACUGACCAGGCUUUUUGAGAUCGUUAUCAUUUCUCUGAAGAGAAUACUCUUUGGUGGAACAUUUCUUGCAGUGGAAUAUAUUUACCAUGCAAGUAUAACAAGGUGGUAUACGUUCCACCAGGAGGUUUGGGAACCUCAAUAACCAGAUGAAUCAGACAAGUCAUCAAGAGUUAAAACAAAUUUAUGGAAACUACCAAGAGUGGGCACAGAUUGGCACAUCACCACUGAAGGAACUGGAAUUUGCAUCAAAGGUUUUGUUGACUGUGUUAUUCUCAUCCUGUCUCAUCCUGUGACUGAACAACUUGUAACAAAUACUAGUCAUAUUACUUAAGAUGUCAUUACAAUAUGCUCAGAUAAGAAACAGACAAUUGGAGAAGAACAGAAAAACUCUGCCCUGGAAGGAGAUGGUGAGUAGCAUACAAGUAAAAGGAAACUAAUAUCUGGAAGAAGUACACAAAUGAGACAUGCAUGGAUUUGGUGUCAUUGAGUUGCUUAGUGUCUUUCCUAUAUGCAACAGUUCUUUAUGGCUGAAUACUAUGCCAAGGGACAAUUGCAUCCUGAAUUGUUGCCAUCAGAAGUGAAAACUGAACAGGCUUUAUGCCAUCUAUAAAAUCAUCUACACAGUCCACUUGGUGAAAUGUCUCUUAAUUACACAAGGUCAAGUACAAAAGGUGCUAUUUAAUCAAACUGGUCCUGCUGUGUGAGAUGUCUGCCAACGAAUGGACAGAAGACAGGACUGCAAUUUUACCAAUUAUUAAGCAUUAACUGAAAGUCCACUUGAUUAGAAGUGAGACUCCUUCAUUAUACAUGACCAUUACAGUUUAUAGAGGGUUUUUUAGUUCCUUCCUUCAACUUGAUUUCUUUGACGAUGUAAUACAAAUGAGUACUCUGACUGCUCCAUGACAGUUACCUUCUUCCCCAAUCAUCUCUCUGGCCUGACCUUGACCUAUAGAUAGACUUUGGCAUUUAGUGAUAAUGUGGUUUGUGGUAGCAGUAACCGCAAAACAGGAUCUUCCCAGUGGCUUCAAGCCAGAGUGUUACUCACUGGCUAAUGGUUAGAAUAGAAGGAUAAUAGAUAUAGGUAAAUAAAUCUGAGAUUUAGAGUUUGUUAAUUUUAAAU